Hyla sarda is the source of this 185-nucleotide small nuclear RNA. RefSeq annotates it as U2 spliceosomal RNA. The record is from RefSeq and is a predicted model, not a curated record. Lineage: Eukaryota; Metazoa; Chordata; Amphibia; Anura; Hylidae. The transcript has a single exon.
GUUUCUUUCCACUUGGGAACUUCAACAGAUCGUCUUAGUUUUUAUCAGUUUAACAUCUGAUGCGUCCCCAUCUGGGGAUCAUAGGUUAAUUGGAUUUUUGCGCACGUGGGCCGAUUUCGAAGCUUGCGUCCGUCGCCCCAUGCUUUAACCAGAUAUGGCAGUAUCUUGGGGUACAAAAAGCCUCU